This is a long non-coding RNA of Bos taurus (domestic cattle), 1252 nucleotides long. Lineage: Eukaryota; Metazoa; Chordata; Mammalia; Artiodactyla; Bovidae. The record is from Ensembl.
GUAGACUCAGAUAUGACCAGACAGCUUAAAGGAACUAAGAUUGACUUUAUGGAACCAAUAAAGCUCCUCAUAAAAACAGCCUAAUAUUAAUACCUGGUUUACAGCUAUCCCAGCAGCCUUACCAGACUUGGAAUCACUGAAACCUAAAAGUAUUCCUGGAGCCCUGCAAACCAAAGCUAAACAACUUGACAUAAAGUUCAGAGAAAUUGCCACAACAGCUUAUGCUUAAAUAAUCCUUGUGCCUGUUGCUAUAUGAGUCACUCAGAAAGUUUACCUGAACACCCAAUCACAUCAUCAGAGAUGUUUCAAACUGCAGAAGAUGUUUGGACAUUGAUAAUCUAGAAGUCCUCUUGACUGACUGCCCUCUGGGCUCAAAAACUGGUUUAUAAUCUGCUCCAAUUUUUAACCUUUAUUUUUCUUUUGUUUCCAUAGAAAUGCCACUUAUUAAAUACCUGACUCUUUGCACCAUAGACCUAGUGUUGGGAGCCCAUCUGCCGGGCUGCCUUCUGAAAUGAGAUGCAUGCAUGCAUGCUAAGUCGCUUGAGUCAUGUCCGACUCUGUGCGACCCCAUGGACAGCAGCCCACCAGGCUCCUCUGCCCAUGGGAUUCUCCAGGCAAGAAUACUGGAGUGGAUUGCCAUGUCCUUCUGCAGAAAUGAGAUACAAUUAUUGAAAAAGAUCUGUCCUUUUCUCAGGACUAAGAAACUGAUUCAGUGAAAUAGAAGACUCUGUGAACCUGCUCUCUCUCUCCAUGGUCAUCAGUUCUGCUUUGAGUAUGUGAAACUUCCAGGCAAGUUUCAGAGGAGGGAAUUGUUGGGGCCCAGAGAAAACUGCCCAAAUUGUGCCUCAAUGGUGUAUUGUUUAGAAUUAAAGUUACUUAAGAAACAGCCAAUACAAGAGGACACUCUGACCCUCCUUCAUGUCUCCCUGGAAGCAGGAAAUCCAUCACUCAGAUGAAAGGUAUACUCCCUGCAUCUGGAGAAAGAAGGAAACCUUGUUGCCAAAAAUAGUGAAUUCCAGCCUCUAAACCUAUAUAAACAAACAUCCUUGCUUCUUUAAUUCACUACCUCAAGCCGAAACUCCAUUUAAAUUUUCCACUAACUGGACACCCCAAACCUGAGUUUCAUUGUCCUGUGAAUUCCUCACAAAUUUAUUGUUCUUUCAUUUAACAAAUAUAAAAAACCACCUGCUUUGGCCACUUACCAUAUCUCAUUUCUAUGGGACCUCUAUGCACAUGAAUUAAAAGUAUUUCU